Molecule: ribosomal RNA, 274 nt
Filed under: uncultured bacterium
Lineage: Bacteria
Description: partial 16S ribosomal RNA
Rfam family: Bacterial small subunit ribosomal RNA
Source: RNAcentral
AUACGGAGGAUCCAAGCGUUAUCCGGAAUCAUUGGGUUUAAAGGGUCCGUAGGUGGAUAAUUAAGUCAGAGGUGAAAUCCUGCAGCUCAACUGUAGAAUUGCCUUUGAUACUGGUUAUCUUGAGUUAUUAUGAAGUAGUUAGAAUAUGUAGUGUAGCGGUGAAAUGCAUAGAUAUUACAUAGAAUACCGAUUGCGAAGGCAGAUUACUAAUAAUAUACUGACACUGAGGGACGAAAGCGUGGGGAGCGAACAGGAUUAGAUACCCCAGUAGUCC